This 387-nucleotide ribosomal RNA is filed under the name uncultured Clostridium sp. RNAcentral describes it as "bacterial SSU rRNA". It matches the Rfam family "Bacterial small subunit ribosomal RNA", at positions 395 to 799 of the family's 1533-position model. The record is from RNAcentral. Lineage: Bacteria; Bacillati; Bacillota; Clostridia; Eubacteriales; Clostridiaceae.
CGCCGCGUGAGUGAUGACGGCCUUCGGGUUGUAAAACUCUGUCUUUGGGGACGAUAAUGACGGUACCCAAGGAGGAAGCCACGGCUAACUACGUGCCAGCAGCCGCGGUAAUACGUAGGUGGCAAGCGUUGUCCGGAUUUACUGGGCGUAAAGGGAGCGUAGGUGGAUAUUUAAGUGGGAUGUGAAAUACUCGGGCUUAACCUGGGUGCUGCAUUCCAAACUGGAUAUCUAGAGUGCAGGAGAGGAAAGGAGAAUUCCUAGUGUAGCGGUGAAAUGCGUAGAGAUUAGGAAGAAUACCAGUGGCGAAGGCGCCUUUCUGGACUGUAACUGACACUGAGGCUCGAAAGCGUGGGGAGCAAACAGGAUUAGAUACCCUGGUAGUCAAAG